This is a long non-coding RNA of Solea solea (common sole), 1889 nucleotides long. RefSeq lists it as uncharacterized. The transcript has 3 exons. The record is from RefSeq and is a predicted model, not a curated record. Lineage: Eukaryota; Metazoa; Chordata; Actinopteri; Pleuronectiformes; Soleidae.
UGCUGCUGCUACACAUGUGAUCCUACCUGACCCAAAACUCAACCUCCUUUCCCUCUGCCUCAGACUGCUACAGAGCAGUCUGACCAUGACCUGACUGACAUGCAACCAGAAACAUCCACACUGACUGAAGGAUGUCAUGAUCUCCUGCUUCACGUUACAUCUCGGCGUUAUUAUUUUUAGUGAGAAAAAUAAAGACGUGAGAACGGAGAAUGUGGAUGGACCUGAUUCUACUCCGGGGCGUGUCAUCUUUCCCCACCUGGCAGGUGAGCUAAGCCAGGGUUUGUACUACAGCAUUCAGGGUUAUACGGCACUCCUUCCACAGCAUGACUUUUGCAGAAUGAAGCCACUAAAGUGCAUAAGUGCAUGCUUGUGCUGCAAAAGUUAUGCCCCAGUCCAGAUUUUAUUUUCAGGAGAGGAAACAACAUGAGUCAUUCAUUAGUCAGCUAUCGUUGAGUAAAAACUCAGUGGGUGUUUGGCCACGGCCCUGUCUUACCGCCAUAUGCAGGGGGGGGCGUGGCAACAGCUACGACAUGUUUUUUGAAUCCAAACCCAAGUCUACAAAUCACAUGUUUGUACAACCGCUGAAGAAGACCAAUAGGGAGGCUCGCUCAACAAUCAGAUCUUUGUCCUGCUGCCAUCGCUGAUCACUACUGGAAAAACCAGUCAUAAAGGAUCACUUGGAACAGUUGUGACAUUGUCUAAAAUGCCAUGGGGUUUUAUGCUCUAAUAUUAAUCAUGUUUAAUAAAUAAAAUGCUCUCUCCGGUUGUGCCAGUUCAGGGUGGUUCACUUUGUUCCAGUUGCACAGUUGCACAGCUGAAUCAGCAACACACACACACACACACACACGCACUGAGUUAUGCAGCCUGUUCAAGUAACUUUUCCAAAUAGUUCCCCAAACAUGACCCCAUCAUAGUUAACAUGCCAAUAACUCUCCCGUCCGUAAUGACUGGAUGUUUAAAUUGGCAAUAUCAAUAUCGUCAUUAAUCUCUUUGACACAUGUUCAGUAGCUGUGAAGACGAGCAUCAGCAAAAUGUCAGGAAUAUAAAUUUGACGUAAAUAGACAAACAGGGCUUAUGCAGCAGGAAAGGUUGCUAUUUUUGCUUGAGUAAUUUCCUAAUUAAGGUGUUUAUGAGAAGCCUCAGUGAGGGGGUAUUUCAACAUGACUGUGUGAAACUAUAAGCCUGCAGAGCGGUGCCUGCAUGCCAGAGGAGUGAGCCUGACCGCAGCCGAGCUGCUGCUGCUUUUACACAAUAGUAAAGCUUUCUGUCUGAGGAUGCCUGUCUCGCUCUGCUCAUUCCGUCCCUGUCUUACACAACGUUGCACCCUGCCCUGGGAUUUCUUAACGUCGACAACAAAAACAGCCUGGGUGUACUCUCACGGGGGCCGGAGUGAGUUCAAAGACUUCAGAUUGUGUGUUGAAAUGAUGAGCAAACAAAAGCAGCCAUCGUCGGUGUUUUCUGUGCUAAACUCUCACCUGACUCCAGGCCGUUGUCUAAUAAGAGAAGUUGUCCAUCACCCGUGUCUCUGCUUCCAGUGUCACUGGGCUGGUUCUGACGAUAAGCCGCUGUGUGGACAUGUGACACACAUAUGAACUCACAUGCACCGGCUCACAUGGCGCAUGCCUACGUUCUCAUUAUCUCACUAUUUUGAAAAGCAGUGACACUUUGUCCCACUUCGUUGAGAUGAACAAACACACAUUUACAUAUUCUGCAAAGGGUGUGACACUUUGCCGCAGGCACUGAAGAAAGAAGCUCAAACAUUUCCACUGUAUACUCUCUGGUGCUUAUGAUUGACUUGAUUAUCAGUUGUUGUUGUUACCAGGAAAGGAUACCUACCCACUGCAUGUCCAUGUCGUGACGUUCCGCUGCCCUACAGCUCUUUCAAGGCA